UUAAGCUAAAAAGAGCGCAGGGCGGAUGCCUUGGCACUGAGAGCCGAUGAAAGACGUGAUAAGCUGCGAAAAGCUGCGGGGAGUGGCAAAUACACAUUGAUCCGCAGAUAUCUGAAUGGGGGAACCCACACCGCAAGGUGUAUCCGUGACUGAAUACAUAGGUUACGGAGGCGAACGAGGAGAACUGAAACAUCUAAGUAUCCUCAGGAAAAGAAAUCAACCGAGAUUCCGGCAGUAGCGGCGAGCGAACCCGGAGGAGCCUAGCUUUUGAUAGUACGAACUUUAGCCGAAAGGUCCUGGAAAGGCCUGCUAUAGUGGGUGAUAGCCCCGUAGGCGAAAGAGUUCGUACGGUACUAAGGAAGCGAGAAGUAGAGCGGGACACGUGGAAUCCUGUUCGAAGAUGGGGGGACCAUCCUCCAAGGCUAAAUACUCGUGAUCGACCGAUAGUGAACCAGUACUGUGAAGGAAAGGCGAAAAGAACCCCGGGAGGGGAGUGAAAUAGAACCUGAAACCGCAUACAUACAAACAGUAGGAGCCCCUGCAGUGGGGUGACUGCGUACCUUUUGCAUAAUGGGUCAGCGACUUACGUUUUGUGGCGAGCUUAACCGAGUAGGGGAGGCGUAGCGAAAGCGAGUUCGAAUAGAGCGAAGAGUCUCAAGGCGUAGACCCGAAACCAGAUGAGCUAUCCAUGGCCAGGUUGAAGGUGUGGUAACACACACUGGAGGACCGAACCGACUAGUGUUGCAAAAUUAGCGGAUGAGCUGUGGAUAGGGGUGAAAGGCUUAACAAAUCUGGAGAUAGCUGGUUCUCCCCGAAAACUAUUGAGGUAGUGCCUCGUGUAUUGCUCCAGGGGGUAGAGCACUGUUAUGGCUAGGGGGACAUGGCGUCUUACCAAACCAUGGCAAACUCCGAAUACUUGGAAGUAAGAGCACGGGAGACAGAGCACCGGGUGCUAACGUCCGGACUCAAGAGGGAAACAACCCAGACCGCCGUUUAAGGUCCCAAAUAUUGACUAAGUGGAAAACGAAGUGUGAAGGCUAAGACAGUCAGGAAGUUGGCUUAGAAGCAGCCAUCCUUCAAAGAAAGCGUAAUAGCUCACUGAUCGAGUCCUCAUGCGCGGAAGAUGUAACGGGGCUAAGUCAAUAACCGAAAGCGCGGAUUUGCAUGAAAAUGCAAGUGGUAGGGGAGCGUUCUGUAAGCCUGCGAAGGUGGUUCGAGAGGACUGCUGGAGGUAUCAGAAGUGCGAAUGCUGACAUGAGUAACGUUAAAGCGGGUGAAAAGCCCGCUCGCCGUAAGCCCAAGGUUUCCUGCUCUACGUUCAUCGGAGCAGGGUGAGUCGGCCCCUAAGGCCAGGCUGAGAAGCGUAGUCGAUGGGAAGCAGAUUAAUAUUUCUGCACCAUGUGCAAGUGCGAUGGGGGGACGGAGUGCGAAAGAUCAUCCGGGUGUUGGAUGUCCCGGUUUGUGAGUGUAGAAGGCCGACAGGCAAAUCCGUCGGCGGAUCUUCGAGACAAAGCAUCGAGGUUCUACGGAACCGAAGUGAUCGGAAGUGCUUCCAGGAAAAGCCUCUAAGCUUCAGCUUGCAUAUGACCGUACCGUAAACCGACACUGGUGGGCGAGUUGAAUAUACUCAGGCGCUUGAGAGAACUCGGGAGAAGGAACUCGGCAAAUUGACACCGUAACUUCGGGAUAAGGUGUGCCUUUGUAGCGUGAAGAGAGAAACACUCGGAGCGUGAAGAGGCCUCAGAGAAUCGGUGGCUGCAACUGUUUAUUAAAAACACAGCACUCUGCAAAGACGAAAGUCGACGUAUAGGGUGUGAUGCCUGCCCGGUGCUGGAAGAUUAAGUGAUGGGGUGAGAGCUCCUGAUCGAAGUCCCAGUAAACGGCGGCCGUAACUAUAACGGUCCUAAGGUAGCGAAAUUCCUUGUC
Molecule: ribosomal RNA, 1926 nt
Filed under: human gut metagenome
Description: bacterial LSU rRNA
Rfam family: Bacterial large subunit ribosomal RNA
Source: RNAcentral